GCCCCCAGCUCUUUUUUUGGCGUGAUUUUUCUGGUUCGUUUCUACUGAAGCGGCGGUCGGACACUGCAGGGAACUUUGCAGUUGUUUGGAAUUGUUGAAGGGAUGUUGCGUGGCCGGGGAAAGAUGCGUGGUCUCCGUCUUGAUUUCUUGACCAAUCCCGUGGAUGGAUUUCUCCGACACCUCGUUCCCCCCAUUCAAGGAUAGCCGAGGCCUGGCCUCAGGCCGGGCCGUGGGAUUUACCAAACCACCCAAAGAUUCCAGAGAAUGUAGACAAAAUGCCUUUGCGGGGAGGAAGCAGAUUGUUGGCAUUUCCUGCGCUCUCCCCCCCCCCCCCCCCCCGAAUCAUCCUGAUGUGCAUACGGAGAUAUUUUUGAUGCUGAAGAUGGAUUAUUCUCUCAUCGCCACUGGAAUAGGUGUCCUAGUGAAAUUUCGCCAUGGAAAUAAAAUGGCCAUCAGUAAUAUGAAAACAAGACCAUCCCCCUGCAAAAAAUGCUUUCCCAUGGAGUUCACAUACAUUGCACAGGGCUCUUGUAUAGAAAGAAGGCAGCCAUGAUCAUAUGAGGUAAGAAGGGAUGGGACCCAAACAAACCAAGAAUGUUGAAGCUAAGAUUUCAUCACAAUCUGCGGUGCCAAUCUAGGUUUGUCAAAGAAACCUUAGUUAAAAUAAACCAUGGUUCCACAUGAUAUCUGAACCCACCCAAUAAUAUG
Hemicordylus capensis (graceful crag lizard) is the source of this 708-nucleotide long non-coding RNA. RefSeq lists it as uncharacterized. NCBI's taxonomy places the organism in Eukaryota, Metazoa, Chordata, Lepidosauria, Squamata, Cordylidae. The transcript is spliced from 3 exons. The record is from RefSeq and is a predicted model, not a curated record.